GAUGAACGCUGGCGGCGUGCUUAACACAUGCAAGUCGAACGAAGCACCUUAUUCUGAUUUCUUCGGAAUGAAAAAUUUGGUGACUGAGUGGCGGACGGGUGAGUAACGCGUGGGUAACCUGCCUCAUACAGGGGGAUAACAGUUAGAAAUGACUGCUAAUACCGCAUAAGACCACAGCACCGCAUGGUGCAGGGGUAAAAACUCACGUGGUAUGAUAUGGACCCGCGUAUGAAUAGGUAGUGGGUGGGGUAACGGCCGACCAAGCCGACGAGAAGUAGCCGACCUGAGAUGGUGACCGGCAACAUUGGGACUGAUACACGACCCAAACUCCUACGGGAGGAAGCAGUGGGGAAUAUUGCACAAUGGGGGAAACCCAGAUGCAGCGACGCCGCGUGAGCGAUGAAGUAUUUCGGUAUGUAAAGCUCUAUCAGCAGGGAAGAAAAUGACGGUACCUGACUAAGAAGCACCGGCUAAAUACGUGCCAGCAGCCGCCGUAA
This 497-nucleotide ribosomal RNA is filed under the name uncultured bacterium. RNAcentral describes it as "partial 16S ribosomal RNA". It matches the Rfam family "Bacterial small subunit ribosomal RNA", at positions 28 to 523 of the family's 1533-position model. The record is from RNAcentral.